GUCGUGCCCACAAGUCGCCGUGCCCGUAAAUUGCCGUCCCCACGAGUUUCCGUGCCCACAAGGUGCCACCCAGCCUGCUUUCCCCACACCUGUGCUGUCCCCCCCCAUGUGUCAGGCCAACAGCUUGCCUGAGGCGGUGGGUUCAGCCAGGCCCGGCAGAGAUGGAGUGGAAAUUAGAGAAAUCUGCUGUGAGGAGGACGAGGAUGGAUGAGGAUUUCUUAUGGGAAAAGGAGAUGCGAACGCUCGGAAAAGACCUGAAGCGGAGCAGAGAGCAAAGCCUACAGAAAGUGACCGAGGCCGCCGCCUCGGAGAGGAC
Oxyura jamaicensis (ruddy duck) is the source of this 316-nucleotide long non-coding RNA. RefSeq lists it as uncharacterized. Lineage: Eukaryota; Metazoa; Chordata; Aves; Anseriformes; Anatidae. The record is from RefSeq and is a predicted model, not a curated record. The transcript has 3 exons.